This 387-nucleotide ribosomal RNA is filed under the name uncultured bacterium. RNAcentral describes it as "bacterial SSU rRNA". It matches the Rfam family "Bacterial small subunit ribosomal RNA", at positions 29 to 414 of the family's 1533-position model. The record is from RNAcentral.
AUUGAACGCUGGCGGCAUGCCUUACACAUGCAAGUCGAACGGCAGCACGGGAGCAAUCCUGGUGGCGAGUGGCGAACGGGUGAGUAAUACAUCGGAACGUGCCCAAUCGUGGGGGAGUAACUACGCGAAGACGUAGCUAAUACCGCAUACGAUCUACGGAUGAAAGCAGGGGAGUCGCAAGACCUUGCGCGAAUGGAGCGGCCGAUGGCAGAUUAGGAGUUGGUGAGGUAAAGGCUCACCAAGCCUUCGAUCUGUAGCUGGUCUGAGAGGACGACCAGCCACACUGGGACUGAGACACGGCCCAGACUCCUACGGGAGGCAGCAGUGGGGAAUUUUAGGUACAAUGGGCGCAAGCCUGAUCCAGCCAUGCCGCGUGCAGGAUGAAGG